CCGGCCGGGGCAGGCGGACCUGGGAUUCCUCCGUCUGCAGAAGGAGUUCAAAGGUCGGAGAGAGGGACCAGAGCUCAGCAGUGACUAAACCAGCAACAGUUCCCUGCUCUUCCAGACAUUCAACAAGGCUUCAGCGUCCCAGCUUUGUGCUUGACCAACUUGCGAGUCCUUAACUCUUCUGCUCAGGGAAACAAUGAAGACAUCCAAGACACAGUCCUUGUCCCCAGAAAACAAUCUCAACCAGGCAUCAAGCAUUUCAAACAGAAAAAUCUAUGCAAGGAUGUGUCACACACUAGAGAGGAGAAUAAGGUACACAGAUCAUCUGCUUUCUGACUACUCCUGAGAACAACCAUCUUGCCCAAAUCUCCAACCCAGACUUCCAGAAAACACAGUUUAAGAAACAUAAAUCACAACAAACUCUCAAUACCCAAACAACAACGAAAAAUUACUAUUUAAAACACUGGAUUAUCUGGAUGCAGUGGACUUCACCAAAAAGAAAACUGGUGACUCAAAGACACCAUCGAGAAGUGAAAAGACAACUUGCAGAAUGGGAGAAAAAAAUUGCAAUUCAUACAUCUGACAAGGCACUUAUAUCUGGGAUACGUAGAGAACUCUUGUAACACAGCAACAAAAAGACAACUCCUAUAAAAAAAUGGGCAGAGGACUUAGACAAACUUUUCCCUAAUUACUGAGUCUGCAUAAUUUCACAAUAGCCCAACACAACAGAAUCUCACAUAUCCAGUGUCCAGUAGAAGGCGGCAAGAAAAAGAAAUUAUAGGUGGGUACAAUAUUAAGCCAAAGGGGCUUAUGUAUCAAAUGACUGAUAAAGAAGGGAAGAGGCUCAGGGAAAGGAACAACGACAAAAUAAAAAAAACUAUUAGUUUUAUAACUACAGAUGUCUGAAAUCUGAAAAUGCUUGGGCACACCUUCGUAUAGCAAAACUAAUUUCACAAAUGUCUAUCACUGUAUUUGGUUUUCCUUAGUAUUAGCACUAGAAACAGGCUCAUUUAUAAGCGGCAUGCUGUGCCCUCUGAAAGUUUUCUACCAGUGGUAAAUUCCAUAGGUAUCAAGGAAGACACAUUUUCUUUAUAAGCAGACAAAAUGACUAGAUCUUCCACUAUCAAAAUAUACUGUCAUCAGAUAUUAUAUUGGGCAAAUCCACCACAGGUGUUUAUACUCAAAGUCUAGAAGGCUGGUUUAUAACCUUUGUGGUACUUUAACCAAAACGCUGUAAGAUGACUAAUGACAGCACAAGGUAAAUUAUGGUGUGUGCUCUGCUGCCACCCCUUGGAUCCGGGAGCAAGUACUCUAGCCAAACCAGAGACUAAAAGGAACAUGGUAAGCACCCCCAGUUGUCAUCACAAACAUAGGCAAAAUGGUCAGAAAACAAGGUUGCUUCCAAAGUAUGGUUUCUAUAAAAUAAAAUCCUACAAACCACAAAACCUGAUCCAUAGUUAUUUCUUCAUCUAUAUCAA
Talpa occidentalis (Iberian mole) is the source of this 1475-nucleotide long non-coding RNA. RefSeq lists it as uncharacterized. The transcript has 4 exons. The record is from RefSeq and is a predicted model, not a curated record. Lineage: Eukaryota; Metazoa; Chordata; Mammalia; Eulipotyphla; Talpidae.